UACGUAGGCAGCGAGCGUUGUUCGGAAUUACUGGGCGUAAAGAGUGUGUAGGCGGUGCUCUAAGUUCGGUGUGAAAUCUCCUGGCUCAACUGGGAGGGUGCGCCGGAAACUGGAGUGCUUGAGCGUGGGAGAGGAAAGCGGAAUUCCUGGUGUAGCGGUGAAAUGCGUAGAUAUCAGGAGGAACACCGAUGGCGAAGGCAGGUCUCUGGGCCACUACUGACGCUGAGAAGCGAAAGCAUGGGGAGCGAACAGG
Molecule: ribosomal RNA, 253 nt
Filed under: uncultured bacterium
Lineage: Bacteria
Description: partial 16S ribosomal RNA
Rfam family: Bacterial small subunit ribosomal RNA
Source: RNAcentral